GAUCAUGGCUCGGAUUGAACGCUGGCGGCAGGCCUAACACAUGCAAGUCGAACGGUAACAGGAAGAAGCUUGCUUCUUUGCUGACGAGUGGCGGACGGGUGAGUAAUGUCUGGGAAACUGCCUGAUGGAGGGGGAUAACUACUGGAAACGGUAGCUAAUACCGCAUAACGUCGCAAGACCAAAGAGGGGGGACCUUCGGGCCGUCUUGCCAUCGGAUGUGCCCACGAUGGGAUUAGCUAGUAGGUGGGG
RNAcentral lists this ribosomal RNA (249 nucleotides) under uncultured bacterium. RNAcentral's name for it is "partial 16S ribosomal RNA". It matches the Rfam family "Bacterial small subunit ribosomal RNA", at positions 15 to 257 of the family's 1533-position model. The record is from RNAcentral.